UUCAAGUUAAAGUCAAUGUCAGGCAUGGAGAUUUUGGGGGCCUUGAUGUUCAUCUCUGGCAUCUUGAAUUUAGGGCCCUUUAGUUUCGCAUCUGGACCUUCGAUAUUCACAUCAGGAACAUCAAUGUCCACCUUGGGUCCUGAGACGUCAAGGUCAGCCUUGGGCAGGUUCACAUCCACAUCUGGGCCCUCUCCUUUGAAGCCAGGCAUGCUGAACUUGGGCAUUUUCACCUUGGGCAUCUUCAGGUGCCAGUCUGGGCCUUGAACACCCACAUCUGGGGCAUUAAUAUCCACUUUGGGCCCCUUGAUGUCAACUUCGGGGCCCUUGAGGUCACCUUCCACU
This 342-nucleotide long non-coding RNA is filed under the name Homo sapiens (human). RNAcentral's name for it is "HSALNT0176115". Lineage: Eukaryota; Metazoa; Chordata; Mammalia; Primates; Hominidae. The record is from RNAcentral.